UAAUCUUCACAUUUCUACGACCAUUCCAGCUCGGGUCAAUCAAGCCAUCACCUCGCAGUGUAUCCACAUCAACCAACAAGAUGAAGGCAGCCAUGAUGUUCCUUGUCCUGUUUUUUACUGUAACUUUGUUUUCAGAAUCUGAGUGUUUUACUGCAGGGAUCGGAAACGUAGGAAAAAGACAGUUCAACAAGGUGUAUCAAUCACUAGACCGCGUUUGCCGUCAAACGCAAGAAAUCUGUUCGGAGGCCGCGAAGGAAUUGGUCCGAAGAUCCAAGACGGUGGAGAAUUCCCGAGAAGCUACGAUCAACAAUUGACAUUAAAAUUAACUAGGAACAUAUUACUGAGUACCCAAACGCAAUGACAACAGCUCGCAAAAUAUCGACCGCUUACAAAAAUGCAGGCGGACAGUUUAAAUUUUACGGAGAGCGAUUGAUUAAAUUUGUGUAUAAAAUACUAUUAAUCGUAAAUUCGGAAUUACCCAUUUACGAUGCAAAUGUAAAAAAAAAUUGAAGAGGAAAAACCUUCAAUAAAUUAAUUACACACACAA
Orbicella faveolata is the source of this 547-nucleotide long non-coding RNA. RefSeq lists it as uncharacterized. Lineage: Eukaryota; Metazoa; Cnidaria; Anthozoa; Scleractinia; Merulinidae. The record is from RefSeq and is a predicted model, not a curated record.